UAGUCCACGCAGUAAACGAUGUGUGCUAGUUGUCAGGUCUUAGGAUCUGGUGACGGAGCGAAAGUUUUAAGCACACCGCCUGGGGAGUACGGCCGCAAGGCUAAAACUCAAAGGAAUUGACGGGGACCCGCACAAGCGGUGGAGCAUGUUCUUUAAUUCGAAGCAACGCGAAGAACCUUACCCACACUUGACAUACUAGUCGGGGAUUACAGAGAUGUUUUCCUUCGGUUCGGCCGGACUAGAUACAGGUGCUGCACGGCUGUCGUCAGCUCGUGUCGUGAGAUGUUUGGUUAAGUCCAGCAACGAGCGCAACCCUUAUCGUUUCUUGCCAGCGGGUAAUGCCGGGAACUGUAACGAGACUGCCGGUGAUAAGCCGGAGGAAGGCGGGGACGACGUCAAGUCAUCAUGGCCCUUACGUGUGGGGCUAGAAACGUGCUACAAUGGUAGUGACAGUGGGCAGCUAGAUCGCGAGAUCGUGCUAAUCUCUAAAAACUAUCCCAGUUCGGAUUGUUCU
RNAcentral lists this ribosomal RNA (514 nucleotides) under uncultured bacterium. Its description in RNAcentral is "bacterial SSU rRNA". It matches the Rfam family "Bacterial small subunit ribosomal RNA", at positions 791 to 1304 of the family's 1533-position model. The record is from RNAcentral.